Molecule: ribosomal RNA, 460 nt
Filed under: uncultured bacterium
Lineage: Bacteria
Description: partial 16S ribosomal RNA
Rfam family: Bacterial small subunit ribosomal RNA
Source: RNAcentral
CCUACGGGUGACAGCAGUGAGGAAUAUUGUUCAAUGGACAAGAGUCUGAACCAGCCAAUAAGCGUAAAGGUUGACUGCCCUAUGGUUUUUAACCUUCUUUUAUUUGGGAAUAAAAUGUUCCACGUGUGGGUUUUUGUAUGUCCCUUAUGAUUAAGGACCGGCUAACUCAGUGCCAGCGGCCGCGGUAAUACGGAGGAUCCGAGCGUUAUCCGGAUUUUGUGGGUUUAAAGGGAGCGUAGGUGGAUUGUUAAGUCAGUUGUGAAAGUUUGCGGCUCAACCGUAAAAUUGCAUUUGAACCUGGCAGUCUUGAGUACAGUAGAGGUGGGCGGAAUUCGUGGUGUAGCGGUGAAAUGCUUAGAUAUCACGAAGAACUCCGAUUGCGAAGGCAGCUCACUGGACUGCAACUGACACUGAGGCUCGAAAGUGUGGGUAUCAAACAGGAUUAGAUACCCGAGUAGUC